AUACGGAGGAUGCGAGCGUUAUCCGGAUUUAUUGGGUUUAAAGGGAGCGUAGGUGGGAUAUUAAGUCAGCUGUGAAAGUUUGGGGCUCAACCUUAAAAUUGCAGUUGAUACUGGUUUCCUUGAGUACGGUACAGGUGGGCGGAAUUCGUGGUGUAGCGGUGAAAUGCUUAGAUAUCACGAAGAACUCCGAUCGCGAAGGCUGCCCGCCGGCACCGAACUGUCACGGUGCCUCGAAACUGCGGGUAACAAACAGGAUUAGAUGCCCUGGUAGUCCGCACAGUAUACGAUGAAUACUCGCUGUUUGCGAUACACGAUAAGCGGCCAAGCGAAAGCGUUAAGUAUUCCCCCUGGGGAGUACGCCGGCAACGCUGAAACUCAAAUGAAUUGACGGGG
RNAcentral lists this ribosomal RNA (393 nucleotides) under uncultured bacterium. RNAcentral's name for it is "partial 16S ribosomal RNA". It matches the Rfam family "Bacterial small subunit ribosomal RNA", at positions 523 to 918 of the family's 1533-position model. The record is from RNAcentral.